Molecule: ribosomal RNA, 1356 nt
Filed under: uncultured Bacteroidales bacterium
Lineage: Bacteria; Pseudomonadati; Bacteroidota; Bacteroidia; Bacteroidales
Description: bacterial SSU rRNA
Rfam family: Bacterial small subunit ribosomal RNA
Source: RNAcentral
GAUAAACGCUAGCGGCAGGCCUGACACAUGCAAGUCGAGGGGCAGCGGGAGUAGCAAUACUUGCCGGCGACCGGCGGACGGGUGAGUAACGCGUAUGCAACCGGCCGUACGAAGGGGGAUAACCCGGAGAAAUUCGGACUAAUACCGCGUAAAGAUGUAGAUAGGCAUCUAUUAACAUCCAGAGUGGCGACACGACGUACGACGGGCAUGCGUAUCAUUAGUUAGUUGGUGGGGUAACGGCUCACCAAGGCAACGAUGAUUAGGGGUUCCGAGAGGACAAACCCCCACACCGGGACUGAGACACGGCCCGGACUCCUACGGGAGGCAGCAGUGAGGAAUAUUGGUCAAUGGACGGAAGUCCGAACCAGCCAUGCCGCGUGCGGGAAGAAGGCCCUACGGGUCUUAAACCGCUUUUGUAAGGGAGCAAUAAGUUUCAUGCGUGGGACGACGAGAGUACCUUACGAAUAAGCAUCGGCUAACUCCGUGCCAGCAGCCGCGGUAAUACGGAGGAUGCGAGCGUUAUCCGGAUUCAUUGGGUUUAAAGGGUGCGCAGGCGGACUUACAAGUCGGCGGUGAAAUAUUCGGGCUUAACCCGGGGACUGCCGUCGAAACUGUGAGACUAGAAUAUGGAUGAAGUUGGGGGAAUGCGCGGUGUAGCGGUGAAAUGCAUAGAUAUCGCGCGGAAGGCCGAUUGCGAAGGCACCUGACUAAUCCAGCAUUGACGCUGAGGCACGAAAGCGCGGGGAUCGAACAGGAUUAGAUACCCUGGUAGUCCGCGCCGUAAACGAUGAUGACUCGCCGUCGGGGUUUAAAACUUCGGUGGCUAAGCGAAAGCGAUAAGUCAUCCACCUGGGGAGUACGGCCGCAAGGCUGAAACUCAAAGGAAUUGACGGGGGCCCGCACAAGCGGAGGAACAUGUGGUUUAAUUCGAUGAUACGCGAGGAACCUUACCCGGGCUCGAACGGCUUGCGAAGAUAUGGGAAACUGUAUUGUCUGCAAAGACGCAAGUCGAGGUGCUGCAUGGUUGUCGUCAGCUCGUGCCGUGAGGUGUCGGCUCAAGUGCCAUAACGAGCGCAACCCCUGUCGUCGGUUGCCAGCGGGUAAAGCCGGGGACUUCGACGAGACUGCCGGCGCAAGCUGCGAGGAAGGGGGGGAUGACGUCAAAUCAGCACGGCCCUUACGUCCGGGGCGACACACGUGUUACAAUGGGUGGUACAGCGGGUAGCGAGGCAGCGAUGCUGAGCCAAUCCUAAAAGCCACUCCCGGUUCGGAUCGGAGUCUGCAACUCGACUCCGUGAAGCCGGAUUCGCUAGUAAUCGCGCAUCAGCCAUGGCGCGGUGAAUACGUUCCCGGGCC